UUAAGCGACUAAGCGUACACGGUGGAUGCCCUGGCAGUCAGAGGCGAUGAAGGACGUGCUAAUCUGCGAAAAGCGUCGGUAAGGUGAUAUGAACCGUUACAGCCGGCGAUGUCCGAAUGGGGAAACCCAGUGCAAUUCGUUGCACUAUCGUUAACUGAAUACAUAGGUUAACGAGGCGAACCGGGGGAACUGAAACAUCUAAGUACCCCGAGGAAAAGAAAUCAACCGAGAUUCCCCCAGUAGCGGCGAGCGAACGGGGAGCAGCCCAGAGUCUGAAUCAGCUUGUGUGUUAGUGGAACGGUCUGGAAAGUCCGACGGUACAGGGUGAUAGUCCCGUACACCAAAAUGCACAGGCUGUGAACUCGAAGAGUAGGGCGGGACACGUGGUAUCCUGUCUGAAUAUGGGGGGACCAUCCUCCAAGGCUAAAUACUCCUGACUGACCGAUAGUGAACCAGUACCGUGAGGGAAAGGCGAAAAGAACCCCGGCGAGGGGAGUGAAAAAGAACCUGAAACCGUGUACGUACAAGCAGUGGGAGCACCUUCGGGUGUGACUGCGUACCUUUUGUAUAAUGGGUCAGCGACUUAUAUUCUGUAGCAAGGUUAACCGUAUAGGGGAGCCGCAGGGAAACCGAGUCUUAACUGGGCGUUAAGUUGCAGGGUAUAGACCCGAAACCCGGUGAUCUAGCCAUGGGCAGGUUGAAGGUUGGGUAACACUAACUGGAGGACCGAACCGACUAAUGUUGAAAAAUUAGCGGAUGACUUGUGGCUGGGGGUGAAAGGCCAAUCAAACCGGGAGAUAGCUGGUUCUCCCCGAAAGCUAUUUAGGUAGCGCCUCGUGAAUUCAUCUUCGGGGGUAGAGCACUGUUUCGGCUAGGGGGUCAUCCCGACUUACCAACCCGAUGCAAACUACGAAUACCGAAGAAUGUUAUCACGGGAGACACACGGCGGGUGCUAACGUCCGUCGUGAAGAGGGAAACAACCCAGACCGCCAGCUAAGGUCCCAAAGUCAUGGUUAAGUGGGAAACGAUGUGGGAAGGCACAGACAGCCAGGAUGUUGGCUUAGAAGCAGCCAUCAUUUAAAGAAAGCGUAAUAGCUCACUGGUCGAGUCGGCCUGCGCGGAAGAUGUAACGGGGCUAAACCAUGCACCGAAGCUGCGGCAGCGACACUAUGUGUUGUUGGGUAGGGGAGCGUUCUGUAAGCCUGCGAAGGUGACCUGUGAGGGUUGCUGGAGGUAUCAGAAGUGCGAAUGCUGACAUAAGUAACGAUAAAGCGGGUGAAAAGCCCGCUCGCCGGAAGACCAAGGGUUCCUGUCCAACGUUAAUCGGGGCAGGGUGAGUCGACCCCUAAGGCGAGGCCGAAAGGCGUAGUCGAUGGGAAACAGGUUAAUAUUCCUGUACUUGGUGUUACUGCGAAGGGGGGACGGAGAAGGCUAUGUUAGCCGGGCGACGGUUGUCCCGGUUUAAGCAUGUAGGCUGGUUAUCCAGGCAAAUCCGGAUAAUCAAGGCUGAGGUGUGAUGACGAGGCACUACGGUGCUGAAGUAACAAAUGCCCUGCUUCCAGGAAAAGCCUCUAAGCAUCAGGUAACAUCAAAUCGUACCCCAAACCGACACAGGUGGUCAGGUAGAGAAUACCAAGGCGCUUGAGAGAACUCGGGUGAAGGAACUAGGCAAAAUGGUGCCGUAACUUCGGGAGAAGGCACGCUGGUGUGUAGGUGAAGUCCCUGCGGAUGGAGCUGAGACCAGUCGAAGAUACCAGCUGGCUGCAACUGUUUAUUAAAAACACAGCACUGUGCAAACACGAAAGUGGACGUAUACGGUGUGACGCCUGCCCGGUGCCGGAAGGUUAAUUGAUGGGGUUAUCCGUAAGGAGAAGCUCUUGAUCGAAGCCCCGGUAAACGGCGGCCGUAACUAUAACGGUCCUAAGGUAGCGAAAUUCCUUGUCGGGUAAGUUCCGACCUGCACGAAUGGCGUAAUGAUGGCCAGGCUGUCUCCACCCGAGACUCAGUGAAAUUGAACUCGCUGUGAAGAUGCAGUGUACCCGCGGCAAGACGGAAAGACCCCGUGAACCUUUACUAUAGCUUGACACUGAACAUUGAGCCUUGAUGUGUAGGAUAGGUGGGAGGCUUUGAAGCGUGGACGCCAGUCUGCGUGGAGCCAACCUUGAAAUACCACCCUUUAAUGUUUGAUGUUCUAACGUUGGCCC
This 2204-nucleotide ribosomal RNA is filed under the name Klebsiella pneumoniae. RNAcentral's name for it is "23S ribosomal RNA (partial)". It matches the Rfam family "Bacterial large subunit ribosomal RNA", at positions 1 to 2234 of the family's 2925-position model. The record is from RNAcentral. Lineage: Bacteria; Pseudomonadati; Pseudomonadota; Gammaproteobacteria; Enterobacterales; Enterobacteriaceae.